Molecule: ribosomal RNA, 352 nt
Filed under: uncultured bacterium
Lineage: Bacteria
Description: bacterial SSU rRNA
Rfam family: Bacterial small subunit ribosomal RNA
Source: RNAcentral
AACGAACGCUGGCGGCAGGCCUAACACAUGCAAGUCGAACGCCCGUAGCAAUACGGGAGUGGCAGACGGGUGAGUAACGCGUGGGAACGUGCCCUUCGGUUCGGAAUAACUCAGGGAAACUUGAGCUAAUACCGGAUACGUCCGUAAGGAGAAAGAUUUAUUGCCGAAGGAUCGGCCCGCGUCGGAUUAGCUAGUUGGUGGGGUAAUGGCCCACCAAGGCGACGAUCCGUAGCUGGUCUGAGAGGAUGAUCAGCCACACUGGGACUGAGACACGGCCCACGACUCCUACGGGAGGCAGCAGUGGGGAAGUCUUGCGCAAUGGGCGAAAGCCUGACGCAGCGACGCCGCGUGA